This 432-nucleotide ribosomal RNA is filed under the name uncultured bacterium. Its description in RNAcentral is "partial 16S ribosomal RNA". It matches the Rfam family "Bacterial small subunit ribosomal RNA", at positions 30 to 506 of the family's 1533-position model. The record is from RNAcentral.
AGCGAACGCUGGCGGCAGGCUUAACACAUGCAAGUCGAGCGGGCACUUCGGUGUCAGCGGCAGACGGGUGAGUAACACGUGGGAACGUACCCUUUGGUUCGGAAUAACGCUGGGAAACUAGCGCUAAUACCGGAUACGCCCUUUUGGGGAAAGGCUUGCUGCCGAAGGAUCGGCCCGCGUCUGAUUAGCUAGUUGGUGGGGUAAUGGCCUACCAAGGCGACGAUCAGUAGCUGGUCUGAGAGGAUGAUCAGCCACACUGGGACUGAGACACGGCCCAGACCCCUAGGGGAGGGAGAAGGGGGGAAAAUGGAAAAAUGGGCGAAAGCCUGACCCAGCCAGGCCGGGGGAGGGAAGAAGGCCUUAGGGUUGAAAAGCUUUUUUGUCCGGGAAGAAAAUGACGGUACGGAAAAAAUAAGCCCCGGAUAACUUGGG